Long non-coding RNA from Aricia agestis (brown argus), 509 nucleotides. RefSeq lists it as uncharacterized. The record is from RefSeq and is a predicted model, not a curated record. The transcript is spliced from 3 exons. Lineage: Eukaryota; Metazoa; Arthropoda; Insecta; Lepidoptera; Lycaenidae.
AGGUGCGCACGCGCAGCGCGAUGUGAGAAUUAUGACAAGCAAUCACUAGGAUUGGAAUUGCCGGCCGCGACGCACAUCGGAUGAGUACAAGUGAGGCUUAAGAGUUAGGGUAGCUGCAGACUGCAGUACUUCGUAGAUUUCUGAAUAAUGAAUAUUUCGUCUAUAACUUCUAAGAUAAGAUUCAGAGGAAUUCCUCUUUCCUGCAAACCGAAUGUAUGCUACGAAGCCUUAAACACUUGAUAAGUUAAUAAUAUUGGUUCAAAAGCUAAGGUCAUGAUAAUCAGGGUAGGUUUACGAGAUUUUGCUCUUUUUAUAUGACAGCAACAAUGUCUGUGUGAGAAUUUAUAUGAUAACCAUCAUAUAAAUUCUCACGACUAUACAAUAGAGAAAUACUAUAUUUAAAUGAUUGUUUUUAGAAAAUUACAUAUCAUAUUUCGGAUAUAAAUAUAAAAUUGUAGAGCUUUGAAUUUUGAUACUAUUUUCGAUUUCGUAUUAAACUAUUUUACGGA